CUACGGAGGGGGCUAGCGUUGUUCGGAAUUACUGGGCGUAAAGCGUACGUAGGCGGACUGAUCAGUUGGGGGUGAAAUCCCAGGGCUUAACCCUGGAACUGCCUUCAAUACUGUCAGUCUUGAGAUUGGAAGAGGUGAGUGGAAUUCCUAGUGUAGAGGUGAAAUUCAUAGAUAUUAGGAGGAACACCAGUGGCGAAGGCGGCUCACUGGUCCAAUACUGACGCUGAGGUACGAAAGCGUGGGGAGCAAACAGGAUUAGAUACCCCAGUAGUCC
This 274-nucleotide ribosomal RNA is filed under the name uncultured bacterium. RNAcentral describes it as "partial 16S ribosomal RNA". It matches the Rfam family "Bacterial small subunit ribosomal RNA", at positions 523 to 796 of the family's 1533-position model. The record is from RNAcentral.